RNAcentral lists this ribosomal RNA (766 nucleotides) under Staphylococcus aureus. Its description in RNAcentral is "bacterial SSU rRNA". It matches the Rfam family "Bacterial small subunit ribosomal RNA", at positions 28 to 776 of the family's 1533-position model. The record is from RNAcentral. Lineage: Bacteria; Bacillati; Bacillota; Bacilli; Caryophanales; Staphylococcaceae.
GAUGAACGCUGGCGGCGUGCCUAAUACAUGCAAGUCGAGCGAACGGAUGAGAAGCUUGCUUCUCUGAUGUUAGCGGCGGACGGGUGAGUAACACGUGGAUAACCUACCUAUAAGACUGGGAUAACUUCGGGAAACCGGAGCUAAUACCGGAUAAUAUUUUGAACCGCAUGGUUCAAAAGUGAAAGACGGUCUUGCUGUCACUUAUAGAUGGAUCCGCGCUGCAUUAGCUAGUUGGUAAGGUAACGGCUUACCAAGGCAACGAUGCAUAGCCGACCUGAGAGGGUGAUCGGCCACACUGGAACUGAGACACGGUCCAGACUCCUACGGGAGGCAGCAGUAGGGAAUCUUCCGCAAUGGGCGAAAGCCUGACGGAGCAACGCCGCGUGAGUGAUGAAGGUCUUCGGAUCGUAAAACUCUGUUAUUAGGGAAGAACAUGUGUGUAAGUAACUGUGCACAUCUUGACGGUACCUAAUCAGAAAGCCACGGCUAACUACGUGCCAGCAGCCGCGGUAAUACGUAGGUGGCAAGCGUUAUCCGGAAUUAUUGGGCGUAAAGCGCGCGUAGGCGGUUUUUUAAGUCUGAUGUGAAAGCCCACGGCUCAACCGUGGAGGGUCAUUGGAAACUGGAAAACUUGAGUGCAGAAGAGGAAAGUGGAAUUCCAUGUGUAGCGGUGAAAUGCGCAGAGAUAUGGAGGAACACCAGUGGCGAAGGCGACUUUCUGGUCUGUAACUGACGCUGAUGUGCGAAAGCGUGGGGAUCAAACAGG